GAUGAACGCUGGCGGCGUGCUUAACACAUGCAAGUCGAACGGAAAGGCUCCUGCUUGCCGUGGUACUCGAGUGGCGAACGGGUGAGUAACACGUGGGUGAUCUGCCCUGCACUUUGGGGUAAGCCUGGGAAACUGGGUCUAAUACCGGAUAGGACGAUGGUUUGGAUGCCAUUGUGGAACGUUUUUUCGGUCUGGGAUUAGCUCGCGGCCUAUCAGCUUGUUGGUGGGGUAUUGGCAUACGAAGGCGUCGCCGGAUAGCCGGCCUGGGAAGGUGGACGGCGACAAUGGUACUGAGGGAGGGAGCAGACGGCAACGGGCGGCAAUGGGCGCAAAUAUGACACAAUGGGCGCGCGCCUGAUGAAAAGACGCCGCGUUGGUGAUGACCGCCUUCGGGUAGUAAACUGCUUUCGCUAAAGACGAAGCGCAAGUGACGGUACCUGAAGAAGAAGCACCGGCUAACUACGUG
RNAcentral lists this ribosomal RNA (466 nucleotides) under uncultured bacterium. RNAcentral's name for it is "partial 16S ribosomal RNA". It matches the Rfam family "Bacterial small subunit ribosomal RNA", at positions 28 to 507 of the family's 1533-position model. The record is from RNAcentral.